CAGUACGGGAAUACAGAGGGUGCGAGCGUUAAUCGGAUUUACUGGGCGUAAAGCGUGCGUAGGCGGCUUUUUAAGUCGGAUGUGAAAUCCCUGAGCUUAACUUAGGAAUUGCAUUCGAUACUGGGAAGCUAGAGUAUGGGAGAGGAUGGUAGAAUUCCAGGUGUAGCGGUGAAAUGCGUAGAGAUCUGGAGGAAUACCGAUGGCGAAGGCAGCCAUCUGGCAUAAUACUGACGCUGAGGUACGAAAGCAUGGGGAGCAAACAGGAUUAGAUACCCCUGUAGUCCCUGUCUCUUAUACACAU
RNAcentral lists this ribosomal RNA (301 nucleotides) under uncultured bacterium. RNAcentral describes it as "partial 16S ribosomal RNA". It matches the Rfam family "Bacterial small subunit ribosomal RNA", at positions 509 to 816 of the family's 1533-position model. The record is from RNAcentral.